Molecule: long non-coding RNA, 1443 nt
Organism: Lutra lutra (Eurasian river otter)
Lineage: Eukaryota; Metazoa; Chordata; Mammalia; Carnivora; Mustelidae
Exons: 6
Source: RefSeq, a predicted model, not a curated record
UUGAGGGUACAAGGGGGCCUGAAGACACACCCAGGUGUCCUUGGCCUCCAGGAGGGGAUCGUUCUGUUAGCCCUUUUUCUCACGCUCCCAGGACCAGUGGCUUGUCCACACCCGGGACAGCAUUCUCCUGACAUCGUGAAAGGCACAACCCAGUAGCUCCCCGGUGUUUGCAAAGGCACGGAUGCCCGGCACGGGUGUCGCAUUUCACAGCCUACGAAGCCCUUUAUCCUGCACCACACAUCGCUACCCCCUCACUCCUCUAGAACUUUACAGUGUGUACAUCACAAAGCAUCUGCAGGGAUCAGGGAUGCCGACCCCAGCCUUACAGAUGAGGACAUGUAGGCCCAGGGAGUCACACUUGGGCCCGAGACCCUGCCUCUGGGGGUGGCCUUGGGGAUGAGGUUCCCCGAGGGGAAGAGGUCCGUUUCCGGCUCUGCCCCAGUGCCCUGGGCUCGGCCUCCUGCCGAUGAUGGAGCCUUCCUGAAUGAGGCUUGGGAACGCUGCCACUGUUCAAUGAGCUAAUGGUGAAAUCAGAAACUCAAGGGCUGGUAGCAGAGGCAAAAAAAAAAAAAAAAAAAAAAAAAAAAAAAAAAAGACAAGCUUUGAUUCAUGGGCCAGAGGAUCAGUGAAUGGGGAAGACAGCCCGUGAAGACGGGGACCAAGUCUCUUAGUUGCCUCUACUGGUCUUGAAUGAAAGAACAAGGGAAUUUUUACGGUGUCAGAUCUGGUUCCUAGUGGCGGCCUCCCUGAGCCGGGCGUUAUCAUCACAGGACAGCUUAUGCACCAGUUUCCCAAAUUAACGGAGAUGUCUUCCGUGUGCUGGGAGGGUGACAACGAAACUUCCUGGCCUGAGAUGGGGCAACAAAGAAUGUGAACCUCAAGAGGACAGGCCCCCCCUUGUCUAAGGGCACUUGGCGUUGAAUGAAUGGAGAUGCUGCCUGCUGUUUCCCCAGGAUGCCCGCAACGGCUGCCUCGGUCCUGUGCUGGAAAAGGGCAGAACCUGAGGACUAGAGAAGUUCAGCAGUUAGCCCAAGAACGCAGCAGCAGAGCUGGGCCCAAGAUGGGGUUCUUUGCACUUCCUGUGAGAUUGGGCUGCUCCGUCCACCUGCCAGCCAUCGGGAGCCGUCCCAGGAUCCUCCCUGCGGAGAAGGCCCUCUGUGCUCGAAGGCCCUGUGGAGAAGCGGGAAGAUCCUCCCAGAAGAGCAGCCAGCGAAGCCUCCUCUCCUGCCAUUGUCCCAAGUCCCCUCCUCACAGCUUCCCUCUGCAGAGCCAGCCCCCAGUGACCAGGUCUCCUCUCCCCGGGACCACUGGGACAACGCUUGGCAACUGACCUAUAUUCCUCUCCAGCGCUAUUUGCCGCCUGAGUCCCCUCCCACCCAGCGCACAACCCCACCCUGCACUGACACCUCCAUCCAUCCAAGGACGUUGUAAAAAUAAAAUGAU